Molecule: long non-coding RNA, 6111 nt
Filed under: Heterocephalus glaber (naked mole-rat)
Lineage: Eukaryota; Metazoa; Chordata; Mammalia; Rodentia; Bathyergidae
Description: lncRNA (ENSHGLG00000035342.1)
Source: RNAcentral
UUUCGAAAUACAGUUUUGAAAUAUUAUUUGCUUAUCUUAUUUAUAAGGUUAGCAGAAUUUCUGAAGUAAGAGAGUAUAGAUUAUGACUAAAAUUUAAUUAGCACGCUAAAGCUAUUUUUAAAUAGAAGUAUAAAUGUAAAAUGGAAAGGAAUCCUGUUUAAAAUUAUACAUAAUUACCUCAUAAACCUACUCCCUCUACAACCAAUCAAAAUAAUAAUAUUCUGUAAUAAAAUGAUGUAUAACAUUGAUGUUCUCUUUUGUGGAGAAUAGGCCUUUUUAAUCUCAUUUGACACUGUACUUCUCAUUUCCAGUUGGACAGGAUGAGAAUAUUUCGGGCCAGUCAUUUCCUGUUUGAGUACAUAAACAGUUCACCAUCUAAAAGAAGAAUAUACAGUUUUAACUUGCUGAUGCAGAAAUAAUUGAUAAUUUAUCUUUCAGUGUAAUACACAGAUAUGCACACAGUAUGUAUUAUAUAGUUUCAUAUACAUUAAAAUCCCAAACUACUUUUUAGUAUGCAUUAAUUUUCCCUUUGUCUAGGUUCAUUUUAGGUUAGUCUUAAACUAAUACUUUUCUUGAUUUUUCAAAGUACAGUUUUAUUGAACAUUCUUAUCCACUGCCAGUUUGCAUUCUUUUACAUUAAAAAUAUUCUUUAUAAUGAAUUAGUAUGAUUUUGAAUAAACCACCCAAGAAAUAUGAAUAAGUUCUUAGAAUUUAUGACAAUAUAAACUUCUUACAUAAGAGGAAGCACUAGAAGUUUAUUUUAAAAACUUCUUGAUCCAUAUCUGCCUUCUGUUUUCUAUAGGACUUCUUAAUGUUUUUUACUUUUGCUUUUCUUGCUGCAUAAAUUAUAUCCAGUGAUAGUUUAAAGAGUAAAAUUAAAGUGCCGGCAAGGUGGCAUUACACAAAUUUUAACGUAUAAUACCUGGAAUCUUUUCCCUAAAUCAUUCUAUUUUGUCCCUGUUUUUCCUCCUCCAUGAGAUCAGUUCACAAACAAUAAGCUUUUUAAAAAUUUAUGCUCAGGAUUGCUAUGAUCUUUGUAAAGAAUUUUGCUUAUCUUAAAUACUCUGUCAAGCAAAUAUUUAUAUUUAACCUAUUUGCAAGAGAAAAUCUUGGCAGUUUUAAUCACCCAUAACUAUAACUUUAAUAAAGUAUAAUGACUAUGAAAAACAAGUUUCUCCUUAACUGUCCUAAUAAUAUAUUAUUUAUAGUAUGACCAGGCCUUCCAAAGGUUGUAAAUCUUAACAAAGCCAAAUAGAGUUUAACCCAUGUGAAUGAGUUUAUGUGUAUAUGUUUAUAUGUGCUGGUGUAUGUGUUUAUGUACACAGAUAAAAAGUUCAAGAAAUAAAUACAUUUCUUUUAUGGCCAGCCUUCUUUUGAGCCAGUACCACCGAGAUAAGUCGAUCUUUGCUUAUUUUUCCAAAAUUGGAAAAUUUAAGAAGAUAAUAAAAACACUUAUCUAUAAUAUAUUAAUUUUGCACCUACUCAAAAUUUAUUAGUUUAUAUAUGCCAAUUAUAAAGACGUUAUGGUGUUUAAGAACAGUCAUUAGGUGCUACAGGUAUAGGUCAGUGGUAGAGUACACAUACACAAGGCCCUGGGUUCAGUCCCCAUCAAAGACUACAUUUCAGGGCCAGGGAUUUAGCUCAGUGGUUCCGCCGCCUGCCUCACAACCACAAGGUCCCAAGUUCGAUCCCUGGUACCAAAAAAAAAAAAAAAUUCAUAGUUCAUAAUUACAUAAAAUUAUUUGCUGGGGAAUAUAUUAAUAGUGGUUCUGGAUGAUGAGACUUUGGAGUUUUUAUUUUUCUUUUAUGUAUUUUUUUCAAUCAUGAGCAUUUUAUUUCUAAAACCAGAAAAAGAAAAUUAUAAAAAGUUUUUUAAAGAUUUAAAAUUACAUUAAAAGCACUAACAUAUAAUAACUUUACUAAAAUCACUUUUAUUACCAAAGAUCAGAAUAUAUUUUGGAGUCCUUUGGUCUACCAGUUCUCGUUAUUCAAGUAUGUGAUUUGGUAAAGCUAAAAAUAAUUAUGCCCCCUUUUUUUCUUUUUUUUGUAGUAUAAUAGUACGAUGGUUAAGCACAUGGACUUUGUGGUUAACUCAGUUCUAACCCUAUAAAAUGGGGCCAGUCUACUGCCUCAUGGAGUUGCUGUAUUUAAUAAAAUAUUAUUCACUGAGCAUGUAGUAAUUAACGACAUAACUACCUAACAGCUUAAGUAAUAAUGGUAAUAAUUUGUGGCCACAGGCUUGCAGGGCUUGACAUUUCCUUUGCAAUUGCACUUUCUAAAAGAAAACAUUUCUCUACCAACUAUUUGAUGGUAGUAUUCUGUGUAGAGUUGGGGUUUAAGAAGAGAAAGAUACUUUUAUAAUAAAACACAUUGUUAUUCUAUAAACUGUUGUAAAGAAGCAUACCUACAGUUGUAUAAAAUUUUUUAAAAGCCCUUCUAGAACUAUGAGUAACAGACUUGCUUCAAAGACCGUUUAGUCACACUUGUAUUCACCUUAAACCACAGUCUACAACGUGUGCUCAACAGCUUGCACCCAAAUAGCAUCUUGGGGUUUUUGGUACUGAGCAUUGAACUCGGGACUUUGCGCUUGCAAGGCAGGCACCAGUACCACUGAGCUAAAUCCCCGAUCCCCAAAUAGUGUCUUAACCGAAAAGAUUCACUGUGAUGGUGCUUUAUAGGAUCUCCAAAGUGCUUUCCUAGGUACUGCCUAAAUCGAGCUUCAGAUUACCCUUGUAAUCCAGACAGGUAGCUGUUGUGUCCACUGUGGGAGUGAGGACACAGCUUUAGAGUGGGUGGCAUGUCUGGAGAUCAGAGAGCUCCCAGGAUGAGGCUGAUGCCCAGAGCAGGGCCUGGAGCCAGUAGAUACUUAGUGCUGACAAGUGACUGAAGGGUGGGAAGUGAAUGUCAAGUUGCUCAUCAGGCAGUGUCUUAAUUCCUGGUUCUACUACAAAAUACAGAGUAGAAAGUCUGCUAAAGGAAGAGUUCUACUAUAGACAUUUUAAGCCUUCAAAUAAAGGAAUAAGAGUACUAGCCCUAUUCAUUGAGGUCUUACUAUUUUGCCAGUGCUUUGUGUGUGUUAACUCAUUUCAUCUUCACACAGCCUCACGAGUGAGGUAUCAUGUUCCCUUAGUUGACUGAUGAGCAAGCUGAACAGAGCAGUAAACAUAAUCAAGGUCACACAUUUAGGCAGUGGCAGAGCUGUUAUGUGAGUCUGCUCAUCUACUUGCUGUAUUGCCUCUCAGAGUCCUUUUUUUUUUAAACAUAAAUCUUUCAUAGUUUUAUGUAGUUAACUCUUCAAAGAACCCAAAAGUUAUAACUUUUCAUUAUAUAUUCUCAUUCAGGCCUUGGAAUUGUCUGUAUAGUUGUUUCCCAAAAGAUUUUGUGUACCACUCUCCCUUCAUUUCAGAUAUGCACAGUUUUUCUUAGCAAGUGGAUGUAAUAAAGGAACUCCUGUGUUCCAUCCUUGCUGUUUCAGUUGAUCUUCAUUGGCACUUGAGACUUUGUUGUAAAGAACAACUAAAUUCUAAGCAUAAGACUGUCUCAAAUCGUGAGUUUAUUCCUGUCUAAGAAAAUUUUGUUUCAUUAGCUAAAGGAAGCUUAGAAAUAUAAAGUCUUCUGCUUUCUUCCAGCAUAAAUAAUGCUGGUAUGUAGACCACCCUACAGUAAAGUUUCUGCCAGGGUCAAGCAAUUAUUCCAGCAUUAGAUACUAUUAAAAGGAAUGAGGCAAAAUCGUGCAUACCGGUGAUUAUGACUCAUGAUUGUCCUUAACAGAAUGCAAACAUCUUUUCAUUAUUAGUUUGCUAGUUAAGCAGUAGUGUGGUGCAGUAAGGAAUUUAUCGAUUUUGUUAUAAAAUCCCAUUCUAAAAUUCAUAAGGAAAUGUACUUAAGAAAUUGAUAGUAGUGUCACACUUUAAAAGUAAUCACCCAAAUUGCUUUUCCACCUGUUGCACAUAGUUUAUUUAAAUGAAGAAUUAGCACUAGUCUUAAGUCUCUGUUUUGUCCUGUAUAAUUCAAAGUUUGCUUUUCUUCCAUUUCUUCACAAUAGGGUAACAGAAAGAAUAAUAUUAAAAGUUAGAGACUUGAAUAAUUACCUGUUAAGUAUUCUGUGACUAACAAACGCUGGCUUUUGCAUAUAGUGGACCUGCAUCUGAGACUGGCUGCCUGGCUUUCCAGUGGGCAAGUCUGAAUGGAGAGCCUGGGUAAAGAGGCAGCUCUCCUCAGCUUUCCUGAUACAACCCUUCUGUUUUGUAGUGUGCUGGUUUUUUGGUUUAGUCACUCAAAGGUUAGAGUUGAAGAGUUAAAGCCCUAGGCACUUGUGGAAUGUUUGCCUAGUCUAGUUAUUCAUCGUUUGGUGUGUCCCUCUUCCUCCCUGGCUUGUGGCUCUCAAGUAUACCAAAGGAUAUUUUGUUCUGUUGAAAGCCUCAGGAGUAAAAGGAAAGUGUUGCAAGCAUUCCCAAACAUACUUCCACCUGUCCAGUGGUGGUGAACCUGUGGCACACCACAGCAGGCUGUUUGUUAUCAUUGAAGGCUCUAAGAGGUUCGCCAUCACUGACAUCAGUGUUAAAUUAAAAAGCACUAACCAAGCACAAGUGAGCCCUAAACAGCCUUAUGAGUUUCUUCCUCUUUAAGCAGCAAUUUAAAGGCCUGGUCAUGAAAUAGAGAGUUAAGGAAAAUUGUCAGAUAUAUAUUUUUAAACAGUGAAAAUGUAAAGGGUAGUGUGAACAAACAUAGUUUACUCCCUUUUAAUUUUAAUGUCCUUGGUUACAUAUUUCCAUAUGAAAGUGAAAAGAGAACUAUGCUAAGGAGUAGAGAAGAAAAUCAGCUCUGAUUUAAAUAUGACCAGUUUAAACAGAAUUUUUGUUAUUUCCUUUACCAAAUUUGUGCUGUGCUCAUGAGAAAUAUAUAGUGAAGUAAACAAGACAAACCAUUAGUUGAUCGAUUAUGCUUACGAACAGUAAAAAUAGACAAGUCCCUCAUUGCCAUGUAACUUCUAUUUUUAAAAUUUGUAGUCAUUAUCCUUAGUUCUACCAGAAACACUAGCCAGUUUUGUUUGUAUUGAGUUGAAGGUAUUGCUCAUGAAUGCCUGAUACUUAUCAUUGCAGUUUACCUCCAAAAAUUAAACUGUCACUUCCUCUCCUCACCUCAGGGUUCCCUCUUUAAAAACUAGUAGUUUCUCCAAAAGUUUUGGUGAGUUACAUAAGCAACCAUAGACAAUGAAAGAAUGAUUUUGUAGAAUAAUUUUUUUCUAGAAUUCCUAAUCAGUUUUCAGAGAGGGAGAACAAUACCCUGUGUGACUUCAAAUUAAUUUUCUCUACUUUGAGGUGUAACUUCCUGAUUAUAUUUUACAAAGCCUAUUAUUUUAAAAAAAGUUUAAAAGCCUCUUGCUAGGAUGUAUCGAGAGCCAGUUUAUAAAGCUUGUUAUUGCUGCCUCAACUUUACAUGUGAGUUGUAGACAGAAUCAAAGUUUGCUGUGUAAUUGAGAUUCACCUAUAUUUCAAAUUACAACAUUUCAUAAAUAUAUGUCACAUUAUAGAGAUGGAGACUCUUCCUGAUCUUUUGUGUGAAUAAUUUGUGGUUUUAUUUCUGAAACUAGAGUUGAUCUGUGCUGAUUUCAUACCUAUCAUUCCAAAGAUCUGAUUAUAUUUAUUUUCUUUGGUAAUUAAAAAUGCAAUGAAAAUCUAAUUUCAAAGUCAGAUAUUGAUAUUUCUAGACAUGGUCUAGUUCUAUAAGAAUUUACUUGUGAAUUUUAAGUAUUUGAUGUAGAUAGAUUAAUAUAUUUUCAUAGAACACUUUUUCUAAACUUAUUUCAGGACUGUAUUAGUCGCUUUUUUCAGGUGUAUGUGGUAACUGUUUGGAAUGAGAGUGCAGUGCCUUCACCAACUCAAAAAUGAUGUAAUACAUGUGAUAUCAUAGAAGGCGAAUGUGUUUAUACUGUACAUGGAAACCUAAUGCCUCUUUUCUAAAGCUUUGUACUUUUUCCAUGAAAUAAAUAUUUUCUCCUGAAGCCAUAUUUCUGUUUCAAUAUGCUUUCUCUUUUAAAUAUAUCAUGAGAUGAUUUUACUACUUGGAAACCAGCAAGCCGUGGUUUAUUUGAACUUUUGGGAAAAUAAG